GAUCUCAUACCAUCAGUUUGUGUCUGAACUCCUGAUUGGAUGAUUGCUAAUCUAAAGGUUGGGAUCUCGCUGACGACAAUCGAUAAACAUAGCCCGACAACCUGCCUUGAUGCCGGCCUAAAGCAAAACCUUGGCUCAACCCCACUCUCGGGAAAUUGAGCUAUCUACUCAUGUGGAAGGUCCUUGAAAUCUUCUAAUGGAAUGUGGGCAUGAUCUGUCUCUGACAUGCACGAUUAAUAUCCUGACUAUGGGCCAAUGGGUAGAUCUUUCUGUCCUAACAUCCUACCAGGCAGUAGUCUAACAACCUAAGGGGCUCGGGGCCGAGUGGCCUAUCAAGUUCCCGUGUAAUAGUACUCAGCUCCAUGUCUGUAUAAAGAGGUAAUGAGGAGAUUAUAAGAUAAGCUUUACUCUAGAGAACUCCGAGUGUACUCUUAUAUUCUCUAUCUCUCGCUUCCUUUCCUCUAUUAUUCUCAUACUCUAGUUGACUUAAGCAUCGGAGGAUCCUCC
RNAcentral lists this long non-coding RNA (507 nucleotides) under Elaeis guineensis (African oil palm). Its description in RNAcentral is "long non-coding RNA (EGUI_LNC025142)". The record is from RNAcentral. Lineage: Eukaryota; Viridiplantae; Streptophyta; Magnoliopsida; Arecales; Arecaceae.